Molecule: ribosomal RNA, 559 nt
Filed under: Candida albicans
Lineage: Eukaryota; Fungi; Ascomycota; Pichiomycetes; Serinales; Debaryomycetaceae
Description: partial large subunit ribosomal RNA
Rfam family: Eukaryotic large subunit ribosomal RNA
Source: RNAcentral
CAUAUCAAUAAGCGGAGGAAAAGAAACCAACAGGGAUUGCCUCAGUAGCGGCGAGUGAAGCGGCAAAAGCUCAAAUUUGAAAUCUGGCGUCUUUGGCGUCCGAGUUGUAAUUUGAAGAAGGUAUCUUUGGGCCCGGCUCUUGUCUAUGUUCCUUGGAACAGGACGUCACAGAGGGUGAGAAUCCCGUGCGAUGAGAUGACCCGGGUCUGUGUAAAGUUCCUUCGACGAGUCGAGUUGUUUGGGAAUGCAGCUCUAAGUGGGUGGUAAAUUCCAUCUAAAGCUAAAUAUUGGCGAGAGACCGAUAGCGAACAAGUACAGUGAUGGAAAGAUGAAAAGAACUUUGAAAAGAGAGUGAAAAAGUACGUGAAAUUGUUGAAAGGGAAGGGCUUGAGAUCAGACUUGGUAUUUUGCAUGCUGCUCUCUCGGGGGCGGCCGCUGCGGUUUACCGGGCCAGCAUCGGUUUGGAGCGGCAGGAUAAUGGCGGAGGAAUGUGGCACGGCUUCUGCUGUGUGUUAUAGCCUCUGACGAUACUGCCAGCCUAGACCGAGGACUGCGGUUU